AUUGAACGCUGGCGGCAGGCCUAACACAUGCAAGUCGAACGGUAACAGGAAGCAGCUUGCUGCUUUGCUGACGAGUGGCGGACGGGUGAGUAAUGUCUGGGAAACUGCCUGAUGGAGGGGGAUAACUACUGGAAACGGUAGCUAAUACCGCAUAACGUCGCAAGACCAAAGAGGGGGACCUUAGGGCCUCUUGCCAUCGGAUGCGCCCAGAUGGGAUUAGCUAGUAGGUGGGGUAACGGCUCACCUAGGCGACGAUCCCUAGCUGGUCUGAGAGGAUGACCAGCCACACUGGAACUGAGACACGGUCCAGACUCCUACGGGAGGCAGCAGUGGGGAAUAUUGCACAAAGGGCGCAAGCCUGAUGCAGCCAUGCCGCGUGUAUGAAGAAGGCCUUCGGGUUGUAAAGUACUUUCAGCGGGGAGGAAGGGAGUAAAGUUAAUACCUUUGCUCAUUGACGUUACCCGCAGAAGAAGCACCGGCUAACUCCGUG
RNAcentral lists this ribosomal RNA (490 nucleotides) under uncultured bacterium. RNAcentral's name for it is "partial 16S ribosomal RNA". It matches the Rfam family "Bacterial small subunit ribosomal RNA", at positions 30 to 507 of the family's 1533-position model. The record is from RNAcentral.